Molecule: long non-coding RNA, 830 nt
Organism: Topomyia yanbarensis
Lineage: Eukaryota; Metazoa; Arthropoda; Insecta; Diptera; Culicidae
Exons: 3
Source: RefSeq, a predicted model, not a curated record
UUCGAUCUUUAUUGCUCGGCAGUGCUAGUUCAGAUACAAUUUUGUUUAUAUCUCUCCAACUCCAAUCACGAAGAUUCAAUGCUGUUUGUAUACUGCAAGAUUAAAGUGAAAUCAAUCCGCCAAAGGUGGAGCUUCACUGCACAUUUAAACAAGCCGUCUUAGGAUGAUGUUUUCGAAUUAAAAACCAUACUAUAUCAGACAAAAAUGCACCAUCUCCAAUCUAAAACUAUUUAAAAAUAGAAAAAAAAAUCAAAAUCCCCUUCACCCGUUCACUAAUCAAAUUAAUCUAACGACCAGAAAACAAACAACUAACCAAAAUUAACAUUUCAUUUCGCUACGAUUCCGAGAUCCGGCUCAGCCCAUUCACACCCACAGCUAUCAUGCGAAUUUCGACGAUAUCAGCACAACUUCCAUCUCACUCGGACUUAGCGAGCCCCAUUCCAGCCGCAAAUUCGUAGGGCAAAAGGCGACGAUAGAGCGUGUUAUUGCGGUCAUCAACGGCAUCAUUACGGCGCGUUCUCCCGGCGAAGAAGGCAAGCUGCUGCGUGGCUUCCCGCGGCGACGGUGAUCCAGCUGUUCAUCAGCAUGUAGGUGUCCGGAAAAUGGUGAAUCUGUUUACUGGUGACUAAUUACCAGUUCUACGAAAAGGUGUCGACUUGAUUAGGAUUAGGUGCAGUGGAACGACAUGAUUAGAAAAAAAAACUCGAAUUAGUAGAUAUCUACGCUGGAGUGAUUUCGUUGAUUUGAUUAAGACCGUAGGGAGGUAACACUUAUAAUAGAAGGAUACUUGGUUUUGAUUAAGGGGCGACCGAGGUAGAUUGAUGCACGAA